Molecule: small RNA, 553 nt
Filed under: Pongo abelii (Sumatran orangutan)
Lineage: Eukaryota; Metazoa; Chordata; Mammalia; Primates; Hominidae
Description: processed transcript
Source: RNAcentral
AUUAGAGACUUAGAAGUCUUCACUUUCCCAUCCCCAGCCCCACCUUCAUGUGUACGUUGUAAAAGAGGCUGCAGCAAGAGGGCAAUACCAAUAUCUAUUCCAGGGGAAGAAUUUGGUAAUGAUGGGCUUUCAGGAAUAAAGGUUUGAGGGAAAAGCUGAGAUUUCAUCACUUAUAAGUGAGCCGCUGUAGAAGCCAGUCAAGUGUAUUGCGUGACAAAAAGCGUUGGCAUCCACGGGAGGAAGAAGUGUUCAGGCAGCAUGUGACUGGUUAUUCUCCCACGUUGGUGACCCCUUCCUGGAUGACCCCCUGCCCCGGGAGUACGUCCUCUACCUCCGUCCCACCGGCCCCUUAGCACAGAAGCUUUCUGACUUUUGGCAGCAGUCGAAGCAGAUCUGCGGGAAGAACAAGGCACACAACAUCUUCCCCCACAUCACACUCUGCCAGUUCUUUAUGUGCGAGGACAGCAAGGUGGAUGCCCUGGGGGAAGCCCUGCAGACCACGGUCAGUCGCUGGAAAUGUAAGUUCUCAGCCCCGCUGCCCCUGGAGCUCUAC